RNAcentral lists this transfer RNA (68 nucleotides) under Lasiorhinus krefftii (northern hairy-nosed wombat). RNAcentral's name for it is "tRNA-Thr". It matches the Rfam family "tRNA". Rfam says of the family: Transfer RNA (tRNA) molecules are approximately 80 nucleotides in length. Their secondary structure includes four short double-helical elements and three loops (D, anti-codon, and T loops). Further hydrogen bonds mediate the characteristic L-shaped molecular structure. tRNAs have two regions of fundamental functional importance: the anti-codon, which is responsible for specific mRNA codon recognition, and the 3' end, to which the tRNAs corresponding amino acid is attached (by aminoacyl-tRNA synthetases). tRNAs cope with the degeneracy of the genetic code in two manners: having more than one tRNA (with a specific anti-codon) for a particular amino acid; and 'wobble' base-pairing, i.e. permitting non-standard base-pairing at the 3rd anti-codon position. Lineage: Eukaryota; Metazoa; Chordata; Mammalia; Diprotodontia; Vombatidae. The record is from RNAcentral.
GUCCAAGUAAUUUAACAAAAAUACUGGUCUUGUAAGCCAGCAAUGAAGGAAACCCCCUUCCUAGGACA